This 943-nucleotide unclassified non-coding RNA is filed under the name Leishmania donovani. RNAcentral describes it as "gene:LdHU3.30.1010(CDS-product:4-methyl-5(beta-hy droxyethyl)-thiazole_monophosphate_synthesis_protein_putati ve)". The record is from RNAcentral. Lineage: Eukaryota; Euglenozoa; Kinetoplastea; Trypanosomatida; Trypanosomatidae.
GCUCCUCUGGCGCUUUCGAGACAUCCAUCUUUCACUUUGACCGGUAUCGUCACUCGUAACCAAGCACCAUGAAUGUUCUUGUCGUCGCGGCUGAUCACUCCGAGGACAUCGAGCUGAUCAGUAUUAUUGACGUCCUCUCUCGCGCUGGCAUCAAGGUCACACUCGCUUCUGUGAUGGAGUCGAAGUCCAUUACGCUGGCGCACGGAGUGAAUGUGAUGUGCGAUGCUCUGAUUGGAGAAGUCUCUGCAGUUGAAUACGACGCAGUGCUCCUUCCCGGUGGCAUGCCAGGAGCCGUCCAUCUCGGCAACAACGAAGCGCUGAAGAAGAUUCUGCAGAACGCGCGAGUGGGGAAAAAGCUGUACGGCGGAAUCUGCGCUGCUCCCGCCGUCGCCCUUGCUCCUAUGGGGCUGCUGGAGGGUGUGGACACCGUCACUUGCUACCCCGGCUUUGAGGAUAAGCUGCCCUCUUCUGUUAAGUACUCCACGAACGCUGUUGUGAAGUCAGAGAACUGUCUCACCAGCCGCGGCCCCGGCACCGCCAUCUACUUUGCGCUCGCCGUUGUUUCGAUUCUCAAGUCACCUGACCUGGCUGAGAGGCUCGCCAAGGCCAUGCUUGUGGAUCACAGUAACGAGAUGAACGACGUGCGCGCCAUCAAGUAAACUUAGCAGUGGGGGAGGGGCCUCUAGGAGAAUUUUUCUUUGAGGGCAUCAACGACUAUCGUCAGCGAAAAGACAAGGGCAAAAUGCUCUCUUCCGAUCUUUUCUUUCUUGCUUUAUCCACUUCUUCUGUAGCUCCGUCCCUUUUCUCGGGCUCCAACUAUUUAGGCUUGCGCGAUUGUAUUGGUCUCUGGUACACCUGUUUCAGAUGUAUAUGCCCGUGACGAUUUCAGGGUGUCGAGCGACAGCUCGCCGAAGCCUUUCGCCGCCUUCGUUGUAACGAACUC